UACGUAGGGCGCAAGCGUUGUCCGGAAUUAUUGGGCGUAAAGAGCUCGUAGGUGGCGUGUCGCGUCUGCCGUGAAAGCCCAUGGCUUAACUGUGGGUCUGCGGUGGAUACGGGCAGGCUGGAGGCUGGUAGGGGCAAGCGGAAUUCCUGGUGUAGCGGUGAAAUGCGCAGAUAUCAGGAGGAACACCGGUGGCGAAGGCGGCUUGCUGGGCCAGUUCUGACGCUGAGGCGCGAAAGCCAGGGGAGCAAACGGG
RNAcentral lists this ribosomal RNA (253 nucleotides) under uncultured bacterium. RNAcentral's name for it is "partial 16S ribosomal RNA". It matches the Rfam family "Bacterial small subunit ribosomal RNA", at positions 524 to 776 of the family's 1533-position model. The record is from RNAcentral.